Vicugna pacos (alpaca) is the source of this 1034-nucleotide non-coding RNA. Lineage: Eukaryota; Metazoa; Chordata; Mammalia; Artiodactyla; Camelidae. The record is from RefSeq and is a predicted model, not a curated record.
UAUCUGGAAGGAGACUCAGCCGGGCUUCUGAAUAUAAACAGGAAUUAGUCAGGUAGGAGAAGAACAAAUAAGCACAAUGAUUGAGAGACCUUCCCCAAAGGCAGAUCCCGAUCAGCCAACAUCUAACAACCAGAGAAGGCAGCCGCUGAAUUCACUCCCUCCACCCAGCUAGAGAUUCUGGAUGAAGGAUGAGCCCCUCCUCAGCUGAGAUGUCUGGAUUAUAGUUUCCUCUCCCUCCUAUGGCCAGUCUGCCUUCGACUUUCCAGGGGGAGCUCCAUCUCACCAGGAAUGCACAUCCCCGGGUAGUUUAUGAUUGGAGCCUUCUCACCGUUCAGGUCGCAGCUCAAAUAUCAUCUCCCUAGGAGGGAAGCCCCCCCAGUCUGAAGUAGCCGUCCACCCUCAACCCCUCUCUCUCCUCCCCCUGCCAUCUCUCCCUCAUAGGGCAUUCGUCACUCUCUAUAAUCACCUUGCUCAUUUAUUUCUUCAUGUCUUUGUCCCCCUACCAGAAUUGAAGCCCCAGGAGAGUUCAGAUCUCUUCUGUCAAGCUUUGCAUUGUGUCAUCAGAUUUUAGGCCCCUGACCAAUACUAGGACUUCAAUAAAUGUUAGAUAAAUGACUAAAAUCCCUGAUCUUUUCAACAAAUAUUCCUUCACGGUGUCUUAGGGGCCAGGAAUUGUGUCUAUAAAGGGGAAUUUCGUCCACUGAUGAAAAAUGUCUUCCUGCUUUUCCACCACUUCCUGCCUCCACUCUCCUUCCAUCCCGACAAACAGACACACACGGGCAGCCUCUGCCUUCGUGCCUCGUGGCCCAAAGGAAAGACACCCAAAGAUAGAGUGACCCUGUCCCCAUAGACAACUGCCAUCGGAGCCGGCCCUGGCAGCUGGCCAGACAACGCAGGCUGAAUGUUUCCUGGGCGCAGCUUCAUAAAUAUGCAGCUGCACUAAAAGCCACGGUCCAGUGAGUAAUGAGAGAAAGAGGCCCAGGUGUCCCUGGAGGAGUGGGCUCUUAUUUACAAGAGCACACAGAGGCUGGCUG